UAAACUUUAAAUGCCUUUUUUUAGCUUAUGGAUGAUUUACUUGGCACAAAACCAUUUAUGUCGCCUUGUAAAUAUUGUAUCCAUAACCGGUAAAAAGUCGCAAGCGGAAUCUGAGCAGUCGGACUGUAGUCAGACAUCCUCCAAUGAAGACAAAGAGAACUCAUAGGAAUAACUAAAAGAAGAAAUAAAGAAGAACAGAGAAAACGGAAUAUAAUUUGCAUUGAGUUCUCUUUGUCUUCAUUGGAGGAUGUCUGACUACAGUCCGACUGCUCAGAUUCCGCUUGCGACCUUUUACUGGUUAUGGAUACAGUAUUUACAAGGCGACAUAAAUGGUUUUGUGCCAAGUAAGUCAUCCAUAAGCUAAAAAAAGGCAUUUAAAGUUUAUAUUCGAUGUAUAUAUACAAUAUUUAAUUUUAAUUUUAAAAUAACAAUUUACAGAAAGAUAAUGCCAUGUUCCACUCCCAGAUUUUUUUAUUAUGAUCCUUGAUGAUUUUGUAUGUUCUCUUUAAUCCAGAAAAUUUUGAUAAACAUUGUAGUCCAGUAACAAGGAAACCAUCUCUUCUGCAAUUAAUAAUCAUAUUUUCUUUUGAGACAUCUUUCCACUUGUAAAGUCGUUCUGUCGUAAUUGUUCUUGUAGUAAUUCUUCUAUCAGUAAGAGAAUAGCCUCUUAUAGCCAUUUAUAUGCUGUCAAAAAUAAAUUUAUUUAAAAUCA
Long non-coding RNA from Acromyrmex echinatior (Panamanian leafcutter ant), 712 nucleotides. NCBI's taxonomy places the organism in Eukaryota, Metazoa, Arthropoda, Insecta, Hymenoptera, Formicidae. The record is from RefSeq and is a predicted model, not a curated record.